This 200-nucleotide ribosomal RNA is filed under the name uncultured bacterium. RNAcentral describes it as "partial 16S ribosomal RNA". It matches the Rfam family "Bacterial small subunit ribosomal RNA", at positions 29 to 241 of the family's 1533-position model. The record is from RNAcentral.
AUGAACGCUAGCGGCAGGCUUAAUACAUGCAAGGCGAGGGGGCAGCAAUGUCACCGUCGUACGGGUGCGUAACGCGUAUGCAACCUACCUAUCACUGGGGGAUAGCCCGGGGAAACCCGGAUUAAUACCGCAUAAUACAGGGGGCCCACAUGGGUCUAUUUGUUAAAGAUUUAUCGGUGGUAGAUGGGCAUGCGUUCGAU